Molecule: ribosomal RNA, 238 nt
Filed under: uncultured bacterium
Lineage: Bacteria
Description: partial 16S ribosomal RNA
Rfam family: Bacterial small subunit ribosomal RNA
Source: RNAcentral
GUGGGCAACCUGCCUUAUACAGGGGGAUAACAGUCAGAAAUGGCUGCUAAUACCGCAUAAGCGCACAGAGCUGCAUGGCUCAGUGUGAAAAACUCCGGUGGUAUAAGAUGGACCCGCGUCUGAUUAGCUGGUUGGUGAGGUAACGGCUCACCAAGGCGACGAUCAGUAGCCGGCUUGAGAGAGUGAACGGCCACAUUGGGACUGAGACACGGCCCAAACUCCUACGGGAGGCAGCAUG